Long non-coding RNA from Gossypium arboreum, 889 nucleotides. RefSeq lists it as uncharacterized. The record is from RefSeq and is a predicted model, not a curated record. The transcript has 6 exons. NCBI's taxonomy places the organism in Eukaryota, Viridiplantae, Streptophyta, Magnoliopsida, Malvales, Malvaceae.
AAUAGUAAAUUAGUAAUAACUCAAAUAUUGGUAAAACAAAACACAAAAAUGUUAGUGCUUGCAUAUUCAUCUUUUGGGGAGCCGAAUGUUGGAGAAGAAAAGCUUUGAAAUUUCGGCAAUUUGAGAUCAAAAUUCAAGGAGGCUGAUAAGCAUAAAACAGAGUUUACUUCAGACUUCACAGGAUUUAAGAAAGAUGGGCCACACUGGUUGGUGAUAACACAGACAUCAAACUUAUAGCCACAGCUUGAACACACUCGAGAGCUUCUGCUACAAACGGAGACACUACUCCCCCAAGCAGCGUAGAUUUGGUGACCAAAAUCUCCCCUCAAUGUUUCUAGCAACCAGUUCUGACCCCGAUGUGAACUCUUUUGGAUCGUAAGCGACAUUAAAAUUAAUACAAACAAAUGGGUCUCUCGGAGGAACCCACUCUGGACCCAUGCGAUUCCUGGAAAUCCCCAACCAUAGUGGGCUUGGAGCUGUGAGGGAAUUUGGAGUGGUCACCCGUUCUGAAAGUUUGGUUUUCUUCUGGUGAACUGGACAUCCUAUUAUUUACGUUGAGGUUACCCACAUCGCACAUGAAAUCCUCCUACAAUUAUCAACUGAACCACUCUGAAAAACCCAGGACAACUCCUAAAAACAUGGUCAACAGUUUCAGGACCCCUUCCGCAUUUUGGACAAACUGUGUUGACUCCAAUUUGUUUGUUAUAGAGAUUAGCUAGUGUAGGUUAAAAAUUCAAGGAAAUUUUACAAGUUAUGAUUUGUUGUUUUGAAUUUAAAUUUAAUCCCCACAACUUCUUGUAAAAUCCUUUCAUGGUAUUUUGUAAUUCUGUAAGUUGAUUAUCACAACCACCAUCAAGGAGCAACUUAUAAUCACUUCUCACCGAGAAAA